AUGAUGCUCAUUGAUUUGUUGUGCAUGCACGUACUGCAGGUUGCUGCAAAGAAGCUCCGUACAAGGCUUUCACAGCUUGGUGCAAAAUCGAUCAUGGUGAUUGGAUUGGGAGAUGACCAAGACUCUUCAGGAUAUGAAAAAGCUCUAGGUCCUUGGCUGCUCUCUUUCUGGAAAUCACUGAAUCGAACAAAUCCGUCGCUUUUACCAAGAAUUCAGGCUCGUCCGCGUUGUGUCCGUGCACAUCAGCGCCUCUACCACAAACAUUCAGAAAAAAGAGGAUUCCCCUAG
RNAcentral lists this ribosomal RNA (288 nucleotides) under Triticum aestivum (bread wheat). RNAcentral's name for it is "partial small subunit ribosomal RNA". Lineage: Eukaryota; Viridiplantae; Streptophyta; Magnoliopsida; Poales; Poaceae. The record is from RNAcentral.